Molecule: ribosomal RNA, 497 nt
Filed under: uncultured bacterium
Lineage: Bacteria
Description: partial 16S ribosomal RNA
Rfam family: Bacterial small subunit ribosomal RNA
Source: RNAcentral
GAUGAACGCUGGCGGCGUGCCUAAUACAUGCAAGUCGAGCGAACAGACGAGGAGCUUGCUCCUCUGACGUUAGCGGCGGACGGGUGAGUAACACGUGGAUAACCUACCUAUAAGACUGGGAUAACUUCGGGAAACCGGAGCUAAUACCGGAUAAUAUAUUGAACCGCAUGGUUCAAUAGAGAAAGACGGUUUUGCUGUCACUUAUAGAUGGAUCCGCGCCGCAUUAGCUAGUUGGUAAGGUAACGGCUUACCAAGGCGACGAUGCGUAGCCGACCUGAGAGAGUGAUCGGCCACACUGGAACUGAGACACGGUCCAGACUCCUACGGGAGGCAGCGUUAGGGAAUCUUCCGCAAUGAGCGAAAGCCUGACGGAGCAACGCCGCGUGAGUGAUGAAGGUCUUCGGAUCGUAAAACUCUGUUAUUAGGGAGGAACAAAUGUGUAAGUAACUAUGCACGUCUUGACGGUACCUGAACAGAAAGCCACGGCUAACUACGUG